This 253-nucleotide ribosomal RNA is filed under the name uncultured bacterium. Its description in RNAcentral is "partial 16S ribosomal RNA". It matches the Rfam family "Bacterial small subunit ribosomal RNA", at positions 524 to 776 of the family's 1533-position model. The record is from RNAcentral.
GACAGAGGAGGCAAGCGUUAUCCGGAAUUAUUGGGCGUAAAGCGUCCGUAGGUGGUUUGAUAAGUCUGGGGUUAAAGCCCGGAGCCCAACUCCGGAUCGGCCCUGGAUACUGUCAGACUUGAGUAAGGUAGGGGUUGCGGGAAUUCCCGGUGUAGCGGUGAAAUGCGUAGAUAUCGGGAAGAACACCAGCGGCGAAAGCGCGCAACUGGGCCAUUACUGACCAUGAGGUACGAAAGCUAGGGGAGCAAAUGGG